CGGCGACGGAGCUGCCGUGGGGAGGGAUGGAGAGGGGAGGGGGGAGCGGAGCCGAGCGGAGACAGCCGCGGCGCUGCAGAGCGGCUGGGGCGGCGGCGCGGCUCCCGGUGCUCCCCCCGGCGCGCGCCCCGAGUCGGUGAGGGCCCGGCCCGGCGGCCCCCGGAGCCAUGGGCUGCAUCGGCUCCCGGACUGUGGGGAACGAGGUGAUUGCAGUGGAUUGGAAGGGCCUGAAGGAUGUCGAUCAAAUCAACAUGGACAGCACCAGCUCACUGCAUGGGAGCAGCCUCCAUCGGCCAUCGACUGAGCAAACUCGAACUGAUUUCUCCUGGGACGGCAUCAACGUGAGUGCAGCUGCCCCCAGACCUCCCCAUCCUCCCGAACUCCUCCUCCACAUCUUCUCCCUUGCACCUUCCAACCAGCACGGUAUUCCCUGGCUCCAAUAGGCACUGUGAGCACUCACGUUCUCAACCUGUGCCCCAGUUUUCCAGAGCACUGGGGAUAUAUCCCUCCUUGGGACUCUUGGGUAUAGUAGCUUUUCUUAUCAUCUGCCCUAGCUCGAAUGCUUUUUCCUGGAAACCAUGAACCUCCUCCAUGUAUAAAGCACGCCCGUACCUUCUUAUUCCUCUGCCCUUCCUCCCACAUUCCCAUCCCAGCUCUCCAUGGAGGACACCACUUCCAUUCUUCCGAAGCUUAAGCGAAACUCUAACGCCUAUGGCAUUGGGGCCCUGGCCAAGUCAUCAUUCUCAGGGAUCUCACGGAGCAUGAAGGACCAUGUGACAAAGCCCACAGCCAUGGGGCAAGGCCGGGUGGCCCACAUGAUUGAGUGGCAGGGCUGGGGGAAGACACCAGCUGUUCAGCCACAACACAGCCAUGAGGCCGUGCGCA
Molecule: small RNA, 885 nt
Filed under: Pan troglodytes (chimpanzee)
Lineage: Eukaryota; Metazoa; Chordata; Mammalia; Primates; Hominidae
Description: retained intron
Source: RNAcentral